This 223-nucleotide ribosomal RNA is filed under the name uncultured bacterium. RNAcentral describes it as "partial 16S ribosomal RNA". It matches the Rfam family "Bacterial small subunit ribosomal RNA", at positions 524 to 745 of the family's 1533-position model. The record is from RNAcentral.
GACAGAGGCCUCAAGCGUUAGGCGGAAUCACUGGGCUUAAAGCGUGUGUAGGCGGACGCCUAAGUACCUUGUGAAAUCCCACGGCUCACCCGUGGAAACGGCUGGGUAUACUGGGCGUCUUGGGCCAACUAGGGGCAACUGGAACAAGCGGUGGAGCGGUGAAAUGCGUAGAUAUCGCUUGGAACGCCAACGGUGAAAACAGGUUGCUGGGGUUGUGCCGACG